AAGAAGUAAUGUAAAAAAAUAGCUGCUAACUAAUUUUUUGAGCGGUUAAAAUCCGUUUGCUUCUUA
This 66-nucleotide transfer RNA is filed under the name Aguriahana juglandis. RNAcentral's name for it is "tRNA-Ser". The record is from RNAcentral. Lineage: Eukaryota; Metazoa; Arthropoda; Insecta; Hemiptera; Cicadellidae.